GCCCGGGUGGCGGAAUUGGUAGACGCACUGGUCUCAGAAGCCAGUUCCCUUUCGGGAGUGCGGGUUCGAGUCCCGCCUCGGGUA
This 84-nucleotide transfer RNA is filed under the name Pseudomonadota bacterium. Its description in RNAcentral is "tRNA-Leu". It matches the Rfam family "tRNA". From Rfam's summary of the family: Transfer RNA (tRNA) molecules are approximately 80 nucleotides in length. Their secondary structure includes four short double-helical elements and three loops (D, anti-codon, and T loops). Further hydrogen bonds mediate the characteristic L-shaped molecular structure. tRNAs have two regions of fundamental functional importance: the anti-codon, which is responsible for specific mRNA codon recognition, and the 3' end, to which the tRNAs corresponding amino acid is attached (by aminoacyl-tRNA synthetases). tRNAs cope with the degeneracy of the genetic code in two manners: having more than one tRNA (with a specific anti-codon) for a particular amino acid; and 'wobble' base-pairing, i.e. permitting non-standard base-pairing at the 3rd anti-codon position. Lineage: Bacteria; Pseudomonadati; Pseudomonadota. RNAcentral also lists the same sequence under 1 other name. The record is from RNAcentral.